Molecule: transfer RNA, 89 nt
Filed under: Achromobacter xylosoxidans
Lineage: Bacteria; Pseudomonadati; Pseudomonadota; Betaproteobacteria; Burkholderiales; Alcaligenaceae
Description: tRNA-Gln(ttg)
Source: RNAcentral
GCUGCCGUAGGCGAUGAAGUCGGCGCCCUUGGCGCGCCAGUCGUCAUGGGCGAUGGGCGAAUCGACGUUCAGGCCCGAUCCGGCGGCGC